Molecule: ribosomal RNA, 466 nt
Filed under: uncultured bacterium
Lineage: Bacteria
Description: partial 16S ribosomal RNA
Rfam family: Bacterial small subunit ribosomal RNA
Source: RNAcentral
GACGAACGCUGGCGGCGUGCUUAACACAUGCAAGUCGAACGGAAAGGCUCCAGCUUGCUGGAGUACUCGAGUGGCGAACGGGUGAGUAACACGUGGGUAAUCUGCCCUGCACUCUGGGAUAAGCCUGGGAAACUGGGUCUAAUACUGGAUAUGACCUUUCUCCUUAUGGGGUUUGGUGGAAAGUUUUUCGGUGUAGGAUGAGCCCGCGGCCUAUCAGCUUGUUGGUGGGGUGAUGGCCUACCAAGGCGACGACGGGUAGCCGGCCUGAGAGGGUGAUCGGCCACAUUGGGACUGAGAUACGGCCCAGACUCCUACGGGAGGCAGCAGUGGGGAAUAUUGCACAAUGGGCGGAAGCCUGAUGCAGCGACGCCGCGUGAGGGAUGACGGCCUUCGGGUUGUAAACCUCUUUCAGCAGGGACGAAGCGUAAGUGACGGUACCUGCAGAAGAAGCACCGGCUAACUAUGG